RNAcentral lists this ribosomal RNA (495 nucleotides) under Zarea fungicola. RNAcentral's name for it is "SSU rRNA". It matches the Rfam family "Bacterial small subunit ribosomal RNA", at positions 412 to 909 of the family's 1533-position model. Lineage: Eukaryota; Fungi; Ascomycota; Sordariomycetes; Hypocreales; Cordycipitaceae. The record is from RNAcentral.
UGAUCUAUAGGAUUGUAUUAAAAUUGAAUAAAGCUUUGUUUAUAUAUUGAUAAUGACAGUAUAUAUAUCGUGUCUUGACUAAUUGCGUGCCAGCAGUCGCGGUAAUACGUAAGAGACUAGUGUUAUUCAUCUUAAUUAGGUUUAAAGGGUACCUAGACGGUCAAUAUAGCUUCUAGAAUGUUAGUACUUGACUAGAGUUUUAUGUAAGAGGGCAGUACUUGAGGAGGAGAGAUGAAAUUCUAUGAUACCAAAGGGACUCGGUAAAGGCGAAGGCAGCCCUCUAUGUAAAAACUGACGUUGAAGGACGAAGGCACAGAGAACAAACAGGAUUAGAUACCCAAGUAGUCUUUGCAGUAAAUGAUGAAUGCCAUAGGUUAGAUUAAGAUUUAAUAAUUUAGUUCAUUUGAAUUAAAUAUUAAACAUUAUUUGGUCUAUAAAUGAAAGUGUAAGCAUUUCACCUCAAGAGUAAUGUGGCAACGCAGGAACUGAAAUCAC